This 525-nucleotide long non-coding RNA is filed under the name Homo sapiens (human). RNAcentral describes it as "non-protein coding lnc-SNRPG-1:4". Lineage: Eukaryota; Metazoa; Chordata; Mammalia; Primates; Hominidae. The record is from RNAcentral.
GAAAAAUACGCUAGAUUUUAAAUGUUAGAGCUGUUCCCGGAGACUUAUUGCAGAAAUAGAUGAGAAGCAAAUCAAGACUACUAUUCAAAAAUCAAAUACCAAACAGCUAUCAUAUGAUGAGGUUGUAAAUCAGUCUAGUCCAAGCAACUGUACUGUAUACUGUGGAGGUGUUACUUCUGGGCUAACAGAACAACUAAUGCGUCAGACUUUUUCACCAUUUGGACAAAUAAUGGAAAUUCGAGUCUUUCCAGAUAAAGGAUAUUCAUUUGUUCGGUUCAAUUCCCAUGAAAGUGCAGCACAUGCAAUUGUUUCUGUUAAUGGUACUACCAUUGAAGGUCAUGUUGUGAAAUGCUAUUGGGGCAAAGAAACUCUUGAUAUGAUAAAUCCCGUGCAACAGAAUCAAAUUGGAUAUCCCCAACCUUAUGGCCAGUGGGGCCAGUGGUAUGGAAAUGCACAACAAAUUGGCCAGUAUAUGCCUAAUGGUUGGCAAGUUCCUGCAUAUGGAAUGUAUGGCCAGGCAUGGAA